RNAcentral lists this ribosomal RNA (301 nucleotides) under uncultured bacterium. RNAcentral's name for it is "partial 16S ribosomal RNA". It matches the Rfam family "Bacterial small subunit ribosomal RNA", at positions 509 to 807 of the family's 1533-position model. The record is from RNAcentral.
CAGUCGCCGCGGUAAUACGUAGGUGGCAAGCGUUGUCCGGAAUUAUUGGGCGUAAAGGGCUCGCAGGCGGUUUCUUAAGUCUGAUGUGAAAGCCCCCGGCUCAACCGGGGAGGGUCAUUGGAAACUGGGAAACUUGAGUGCAGAAGAGGAGAGUGGAAUUCCACGUGUAACGGUGAAAUGCGUAGAGAUGUGGAGGAACACCAGUGGCGAAGGCGACUCUCUGGUCUGUAACUGACGCUGAGGAGCGAAAGCGUGGGGAGCGAACAGGAUUAGAUACCCCUGUAGUCCCUGUCUCUUAUAC